UUAGAGAAGACAUCAUUUGACAAAAAUAUGUGUAUAUAAAGCUAUGUCUUAUGUAUUUCUCUUUAUCAGUUCUUUCUCUGGAGGUGGACAUAGGCACGUCAUCCUUCAAACUAUUUCUGCUGUGUAUAAUAUUCUUUUGGUUCUGCUCAUUCCACUCUCAAAUUUCAGACACUACUGGAUCCUUUUGCAACCAUUAACUGUAUUGGCUUUAAUAUUGGGUCAACUGAUUCCUCUUAGGCCUCAAAGGAGCUGCAACCCAAGCCAACUUUAUUUUAAGAAGCUGGUUGCUUCAUCAAAAAAGAAAAAAAAAGACAUGUGCAAAUGUCCCCAAAGGAACUGGAAUUGGUGAUUUUGUGUGAAGGGAUUAAAGAAGCUGGCUGCAGUUGUGCCAUUUUAAUAGGAUGCUGCCACGUAUGAGAUGUAGACACUCUUAAUGUUUUAUUAGAUUGGAAUAAUUUCUGGCAUUUAAACAUUUUGAUGAAAUUUGUUAAAUUUUUGAGGUGUUUUUAUAUGAAAAAAAUAAAAUGUUUUUUGGCAAUUCUAGUAAAGAGGCA
Molecule: long non-coding RNA, 554 nt
Filed under: Monodelphis domestica (gray short-tailed opossum)
Lineage: Eukaryota; Metazoa; Chordata; Mammalia; Didelphimorphia; Didelphidae
Description: lncRNA (ENSMODG00000041769.1)
Source: RNAcentral